Molecule: ribosomal RNA, 454 nt
Filed under: uncultured Alphaproteobacteria bacterium
Lineage: Bacteria; Pseudomonadati; Pseudomonadota; Alphaproteobacteria
Description: bacterial SSU rRNA
Rfam family: Bacterial small subunit ribosomal RNA
Source: RNAcentral
GCAGUGAGGAAUAUUGCGCAAUGGGGGCAACCCUGACGCAGCAACGCCGCGUGAGUGAGGAAGGUUUUCGGACCGUAAAGCUCUGUCGAGCGGGAAGAAAUGCAUGGUGGCUAAUAUCCAUCAUGCUUGACGGUACCGCUAGAGGAAGCCCCGGCUAACUUCGUGCCAGCAGCCGCGGUAAUACGAAGGGGGCUAGCGUUGCUCGGAAUUACUGGGCGUAAAGGGAGCGUAGGCGGACAUUUAAGUCAGGGGUGAAAUCCCGGGGCUCAACCUCGGAAUUGCCUUUGAUACUGGGUGUCUUGAGUGUGAGAGAGGUAUGUGGAACUCCGAGUGUAGAGGUGAAAUUCGUAGAUAUUCGGAAGAACACCAGUGGCGAAGGCGACAUACUGGCUCAUUACUGACGCUGAGGCUCGAAAGCGUGGGGAGCAAACAGGAUUAGAUACCCCAGUAGUCC